Long non-coding RNA from Passer domesticus (house sparrow), 1668 nucleotides. RefSeq lists it as uncharacterized. NCBI's taxonomy places the organism in Eukaryota, Metazoa, Chordata, Aves, Passeriformes, Passeridae. The transcript has 2 exons. The record is from RefSeq and is a predicted model, not a curated record.
CUGUCCUGGGAGCAAGGUUAAUCUCAGCAGCCAGCCCCUCAGCAAAAAGUGGCAAGAAGUGAAUGGAAAACAGAUUGCUGGCUUGGGCUCCAAGAGAUAAGGAGACAUGCCUGGGUUUCGCAGCUCAGACUGUACAGAGCACAGUCUCCCCACAGGCUUGCUGCCUUUCCACACUGGCUACAGGAAAAGAAACACUGAAACACGUGCAGUUCUUGUGCCUGAAUUUUACAGGUUGCUGCUCCAAAGGACUGGACUACAUGGAGGGAAGAGUGAUUUUUGGAUGUACCCCUUAGUGAACAAGUGAGGACACAGGUGCUGCUGGCAAGUCAAUGUGUUGCUACAUUAGAGGCAGCUCAGAAAGAAGCACAAGAACUUCUGUUCCCAAAGUAGAAGAAACUGUUAAUAAAUUGGAAAUCCGAAGUUUUUUCCAGCUGUGGACAUGUAUUGCUGAGAGUGGCCCCUGCAGAAUGGCACAGAGGAUUGUGGGGACCCCUGGGCAAAGCCCAACUGCCACAGACUAAAGCAGGAGAGGGAACAGGGCCUCAGGCUGGAAAAAGAGGCUGCUCUGCACUUAUGGGCAAGGAGAAGCAGGGAGUCCCUCCCCUUCCCUGUCUGUGUUUUUGGCCUAGCAAAAAGGGUAAGCUGCCCCUGAUGAAGCUGUGAUGGAAAGCUAAUCCUCUCCAACAACAGCCCAGUGCUAGGAAACAUCUGUGGAUCUGGGCAGGAGAGAAAGCAAGAACCUCUUCUAAGGGCAUUUGUUUCUCCAUCAGUCUUUUGUGGUGUCUCCCUCAGUCACCUCAUUCCCUGCUUGGUUAUUCCAGCAUUAGUUUGCACAGGCUGUUUGCACAGACAGAACAACAACAGAGGUCUGCUUGGAAAGCCAGCAGAAACCUCUUAGCUUGAGACCACAAAUGCGCAGAAUCCCCAAAGAACAAAAAUGUUUGAACUUGCCUCCCCAAAAGUGUUGUAUUCAUUGACUUGCAAGCAGGGGGAACAGCCAUAGUAAUUUAACCUAGGGAAGAGUGCCAACAACUUAUUUAAUUGCAGAGUUGGUGCCAACAGCCCCACAAUACAACUAUUAAUACAAGUCUGCAGUACAAGACUAAUUCUGCUAACCUUUUGCUGUUGCCUUUUAGUCAGGUCAGUGGCUGCAUCCCUUCUGUGCUGACACUAUUCAACAAACACUGGCAACUGCUUUUAAGCAAACACCAAACGGAGCAGGGCAGGAGGGAGGGGAGAGGGACCAUUGAGAAAAUGAAGAUUCCCCCCAUGACCCCACCUCUCAGUGCCCAAAUGUUUCGCAUUUUUUUCUCCAUUUUAAGUCCCUCUCUUGAAACUGGGAAUGUGUCUUGCCAUGUAUUUGCCCCUGGAAAACAGCCAGAUCUUUGGUCUGGAUUCCAUCAGCUCAUUUCCCAGUUUCUAUGAGACUGCAUUUGAGAAAUGUGGAUCUAUCUCAUUCCACUGGCAAGACUGGUCAUCAAUCAAUGUAUGACAACAUGAGGUCUGACACUGGGGACCAAUCCACUUUUCUAAAUGCGGCGUUCCUUUAAAGAUCAUGUAUUUUUACAGAACAAUUUAAAAAGAAAGCAAUGAUGGAUCCGGCACCACUGCAAGUUUCCAAGGGUAUGAUUAUUCCAGCAAUUAUGUGCCAUUGUAAAAAUCUUAAAA